GUUCUUCGGGACCAGAGACCGGCGCACGGGUGCGUAACGCGUAUGCAAUCUACCUUUUACAGAGGGAUAGCCCAGAGAAAUUUGGAUUAAUACCUCAUAGUAUAACAUGACCGCAUGGUCGAGUUAUUAAAGUCACAACGGUAAAAGAUGAGCAUGCGUCCCAUUAGCUAGUUGGUAAGGUAACGGCUUACCAAGGCUACGAUGGGUAGGGGUCCUGAGAGGGAGAUCCCCCACACUGGUACUGAGACACGGACCAGACUCCUACGGGAGGCAGCAGUGAGGAAUAUUGGACAAUGGGCGCAAGCCUGAUCCAGCCAUGCCGCGUGCAGGAUGACGGUCCUAUGGAUUGUAAACUGCUUUUAUACGAGAAGAAACACUGAUUCGUGAAUCAGCUUGACGGUAUCGUAAGAAUAAGGAUCGGCUAACUCCGUGCCAGCAGCCGCGGUAAUACGGAGGAUCCAAGCGUUAUCCGGAAUCAUUGGGUUUAAAGGGUCCGUAGGCGGUUUGGUAAGUCAGUGGUGAAAGCCCAUCGCUCAACGGUGGAACGGCCAUUGAUACUGCCAGACUUGAAUUAUUAGGAAGUAACUAGAAUAUGUAGUGUAGCGGUGAAAUGCUUAGAGAUUACAUGGAAUACCAAUUGCGAAGGCAGGUUACUACUAAUGGAUUGACGCUGAUGGACGAAAGCGUGGGUAGCGAACAGGAUUAGAUACCCUGGUAGUCCACGCCGUAAACGAUGGAUACUAGCUGUUGGAAGCA
RNAcentral lists this ribosomal RNA (756 nucleotides) under uncultured bacterium. Its description in RNAcentral is "bacterial SSU rRNA". It matches the Rfam family "Bacterial small subunit ribosomal RNA", at positions 75 to 831 of the family's 1533-position model. The record is from RNAcentral.